Long non-coding RNA from Hyla sarda, 2030 nucleotides. RefSeq lists it as uncharacterized. The transcript has 4 exons. NCBI's taxonomy places the organism in Eukaryota, Metazoa, Chordata, Amphibia, Anura, Hylidae. The record is from RefSeq and is a predicted model, not a curated record.
UAGCCAGGGAGGAAACCUUUCCCGCCUUCCCCGCGGAUCCCCCUCGGAGUCCUGUGGGAGGUGAGCGCCAUAUUACUGCCGCGGGGGACGGAGCUGUCAUCGUCCAUGUCUGAGAUUGGAAGAUGUUUUUGAUAUUAACUAAUGGAAGGAUUGAAGUCACGACAGACUGCGGCGUUCAGCUAAGCAUGCAGAACUCUACACCAGCUAUGAACCAGCAUAGAUCUCUGAGACUUUUGGUGUCGCAAAUCAGCCCUAAAGUUACAUUUGAGGAUGAGACCUCUUUCGGACUCCUUCCCUCUCCUUCGGCCGGAGUGUCGUAUAUGCUGAAAAGUUGCUAAAUUAGCAUUUUUUGCCAUACAAAAUCAGCCUGUAGUUUCUCGCUCUCUAUAGAUUUAGGUUUCUGUACAGAGAAGCGCCAGCAUCGGGAAACUCAACGGCAACACCUGGAAACUUUACGGCAACAUCGGGACACUGAGGAGCAGCAUCGGGACACUGACCGGCAACACGGGGAAACUGAAUGGCAACACCGGGACACCCAGCGGCAACACCAGGACACUGAGCUGCAACACCGGUAAACUGAACGGCAACACCGGGAAACUGAACUGCAACAUCGGGAAACUGAACGGCAACAUCGGGAAACUGAACUGCAACAUCGGGAAACUGAACGGCAACAUCGGGAAACUGAACGGCAACAUCGGGAAACUGAACUGCAACAUCAGGAAACUGAACGGCAACAUCGGGAAACUGAACGGCAACAUCGGGAAACUGAACGGCAACAUUGGGACACAGAGCGGCCACACAAGGACAUCUCCCCCCCUCCCCGGCUGGGCCCAGAUAUUACACAGCAGUGAUGAGCGAUCAGAGGGGGGCCGGGGCAUUGAGCCAUUGUGCCGCCUGCUCUUCGCACAAAAUGGGACCCUCACCACCCUCAUCCCCCUGUAGCAUUAGGGGGAGUAGUUGUGCUUUGUGCCGGGAAUCUUCUCCUCCUUAAGCUUCUAUAGAGCGCGGCCUUUUGUCAGCCCAAGUUCAUCCUCAAGUUUGAGAAUAGGGGAAAAAGGAGAAGAAGAAGAAAGGGGAAAAGAAAAGGAAGCCGCCAUUGUGCCCUGCACCUAACCUGAACUUAGUUAAAGAGGGUAUACUGUUCCUAGAACAUCACUAACUAUAUAUAUAGAUAGAUAUGAGAUAGAUAGAUAAGAGAUAAGAUAGACAGAUAUAAGAUAGAUAGAUAUGAGAUAGAUAGAUAGAUAUGAGAAAGAUAUGAGAUAUAUAUUAGAUAGAUAGAUAUGAGAUAGAUAAAUAGAUAGAUAUGAGAUACAUAUUAGAUAGAUAGAUAUGAGCUAGAUAGAUAUGAUGGAUAGAUAUGAGAUUGAUGGAUAGAUAGAUAUGAGAUAGAUAGAUUUGAGAUAGAUGGAUAGAUAGAUAUGAGAUAGAUGGAUAGAUUGAUAUGAGUGAGAUAGAUAGAUGUGAGAUAGAUAGAUAGAUAUGAGAUAGAUGGAUAGAUAGAUAUGAGUGAGAUAGAUAGAUAGAUGUGAGAGAUAGAUAUAGAUAGAUAUGAGAUAAAUGGAUAGAUAGAUAUGAGUGAGAUAGAUAGAUAGAUAUGAGAUAGAUGGAUAGAUAGAUAUGAGUGAGAUAGAUGUAAGAUAGAUAAAUAUAUAUGAGAUAGAUGGAUAGAUAUGAGAUAGAUAGAUAGAUACAUAGAUAGAUAUGAGUGAGAUAGAUAGAUGUGAGAGAUAGAUAUAGAUAGAUAGAUGUGAGAUAGAUAGAUAUGAGAUAGAUGGAUAGAUAGAUAUGAGUGGGAUAGAUAGAUGUGAGAUAGAUAUAUAUAUAUAUGAGAUAGAUGGAUAGAUAGAUAUGAGAUAGAUAGAUAGAUAUGAGUGAGAUAGAUAGAUGUGAGAGAUAGAUAUAGAUAGAUAGAUGUGAGAUAGAUAGAUAUAUAUGAGAUAGAUAGAUAUGAGAUAAAUAGAUACGAGAUAGAUCGAUAGAUAUUAGAUAUGAAAAAGAAUGAACCCUGAAUCAGUUUGUAUGUUCUG